This 259-nucleotide ribosomal RNA is filed under the name uncultured bacterium. RNAcentral describes it as "partial 16S ribosomal RNA". It matches the Rfam family "Bacterial small subunit ribosomal RNA", at positions 793 to 1055 of the family's 1533-position model. The record is from RNAcentral.
GUCCACGCCCUAAACGAUGUUUACUUGCUGUUUGUAUUUCGGGAUGAGUGGCGAAGCGAAAGCGCUAAGUAAACCACCUGGGGAGUACGCCCGCAAGGGUGAAACUCAAAGGAAUUGACGGGGUCCGCACAAGCGGUGGAGCAUGUGGUUUAAUUCGAUGAUACGCGAGGAACCUUACCCGGGUUAGAAUGUGACUGAAUACUUCUGAAAGGAGGUAGGCUCGCAAGAGACAGGAAACAAGGUGCUGCAUGGCUGUCGU